ACAUUUCCUUUAGAUUUAAUUAAAGGUAAAGCCUGCCCACUGCAUGUAAGUAAAGGGCCGCGGUAUAUUGACCGUGCAAAGGUAGCAUAAUCAUUAGUCUCUUAAUUAGGGAAUGGAAUGAAUGGCUAUAUGAUUUACUAUUAUAGCUUAAAUAAUUUGAUAAAAAUUGAAUUUGAAGUGAAAAUUCUUUAAUUUAGUUAAAAGACGAUAAGACCCUAUAGAAUUUUAUUUAGUGGCUAGCAGCUAUUCUAGGUUUAAUUGGGGCAUUUAUUAAGUAAUUAAAAUUUUUUUAAAAAUUUAUUUUAAAGUAUCUUUAUUAAUAGAUAAUAAAAAAAUUACCUUAGGGAUAACAGCGUAAUAUAUAUUGAGAGGCCAUAUCGACAUAUAAUUUUGCGACCUCGAUGUUGAAUUAAAAUUUCUUAUUAGGGCAGUAUUUAAUAAAGAUAGUCUGUUCGACUGAUAAAAUUUUACAUGAUUUGAGU
This 482-nucleotide ribosomal RNA is filed under the name Monodontocerus modificatus. RNAcentral's name for it is "partial large subunit ribosomal RNA". It matches the Rfam family "Bacterial large subunit ribosomal RNA", at positions 1815 to 2610 of the family's 2925-position model. Lineage: Eukaryota; Metazoa; Arthropoda; Collembola; Entomobryomorpha; Tomoceridae. The record is from RNAcentral.